This 484-nucleotide ribosomal RNA is filed under the name uncultured bacterium. RNAcentral describes it as "partial 16S ribosomal RNA". It matches the Rfam family "Bacterial small subunit ribosomal RNA", at positions 28 to 507 of the family's 1533-position model. The record is from RNAcentral.
AUUGAACGCUGGCGGCAUGCUUUACACAUGCAAGUCGAACGGCAGCGCGGGCUUCGGCCUGGCGGCGAGUGGCGAACGGGUGAGUAAUGCAUCGGAACGUGCCCAGUAGUGGGGGAUAGCCCGGCGAAAGCCGGAUUAAUACCGCAUACGACCUGAGGGUGAAAGCGGGGGACCAAAGGGCCCCGCGCAUUGGAGGGGGCCGAUGUCGGAUUAGCUAGUUGGUGGGGUAAAGGCUUACCAAGGCGACGAUCCGUAGCUGGUCUGAGAGGACGACCAGCCACACUGGGACUGAGACACGGCCCAGACUCCUACGGGAGGCAGCAGUGGGGAAUUUUGGACAAUGGGGGCAACCCUGAUCCAGCCAUGCCGCGUGCGGGAAGAAGGCCUUCGGGUUGUAAACCGCUUUUGUUCGGGAAGAAAUCCUCUGGGCUAAUACCCCGGGGGGAUGACGGUACCGGAAGAAUAAGCACCGGCUAACUACGUG